GCCGCGUAACUGACUGGCACACUGAGCGCGCUCACCGAUCUUGACUUGCUCGCGGUAGCUCUUUUCGUUGAGGCAAACCCCGCGGCCGUGCAGCAGGGCGUGCAGCGGCUUCUCCUCGUCCUGCCGGGGGAGGCAGCGCAGCCCCUGGGCGCAGCGCUCGGUGUAGACGCCGCACGACUGCCCCUCGGCCAGGGCGCAGGUCAUGCAGCAGCCGCAGCCCGGCUCCUUGACCAGCUCGCAGCCCAGGGGGCUGGGGGGGCACAUGGAGAGGGCUUUCUCGUCGCAGGGCUCGCAGUGCACGAAGGAGCCCAGGCUCUGGGCCGGCCCCGCAUAGGCGGCCAGCAGCAGGAGGACCGCGGGAGCGAGCCUCAGUGCUUUGAACGCCUCCUGCUCCAUCACAGUGACUGCUCAAGGCAGGACACCUGAUCCUAUCGGAAUCCACCCACGGAUGGGGCCUCCACGUGAAAAGUAACUACAAAACAGAACCAGAAAAUAGUCAUGCUGUUCAACCAGUCAGGAAAAUCUUGCUUCUCAAACUCCUGUCUUGACCCCUUCCUGAACUUUGCCUCCUGGAUCUUGAGGUCUGCCUUCUGUGGAAGAGAAAUACUAGAAUCAAUGAACUGUGAACUAGAGCCCUGGGAUUAUCAACAGCUGAAAUUUUGAGAGCCACCUUAUAGAAAGCCUAACAGCAAAGACUGGAGAGAGGCUUCCAGCCAACAGCCAGCAAGGAAUUGAAGCCCUCAGUCCAAUAGCAGUGAGGAAUUGAAUCCUGCCAACAGCCUCGUGGACCGACUGCUUCAUGCUGGGCUUCAGACAUGAGAGGCUAGGAGUAGGAGGCAUGCCUUGUUCAAAGGUCUUAAAUGUGGGAAAUAGUCUACAGUUUGGAAGACACCAGAGAAAAAUGCUCCACAGCUCGCCCUGGUGACUCACUACAACUUAUGGGAAGAUGUGAGAUUAUUCUGUAUUCUAAUGUAUGUUAGAAGGCACACUCCACCCAAAGCCUUCCUGUGUGUUCCUCCCUGUGAGCUCACAUCCCGUUCACCAGCUGACUGGGAAGGGAAGUCAGGACCAGCCCUGACCCCAUCACACCAUCAUAACCUCGGGAUGGCAGGGCUGGAAGGCACCUCAGACGUCAUCCUUUGCAGACUCUUCAUUUUACAGUGAGAGGCAUGACGUGUCCACAGCUGGUUAGUGCCAAAGCCUGGGACAGGCUUCACAUUGUCCAGCUCUUAGUCAGAGCACUGUUGACAAUGUCUGCCUUCACUUGGAAUUCAGCACCUGCUUUCAGUAUAAACCCCUGCAUUUCACUAAAACUGAGCAGACUGCUGGUUUAAAAAAGAGAGGUCCAUCCAGCAGGGAUGAUGCUUUUCCUCGUUGAAAGAGGACAUUCACCUAAUGGGAGACCUGGAGUCAGAAUCUUUCUGAUGUGUGACUUGGCACAGUAACACAAUGCAGGAUGCUGGUGUGUUAAUAAAAAUAAAAAUUGCAUCGCCUACCUCAGAGUCGACAACAAUGUCAAGGAGUUAAUAGUCUUGGCAACACAGAGGCCACUGGACAGAGGCAUAACCUUGCGUGGCAGCUGCACGGGAAUUGGAUUUGGCUCAGGUGUUUCAGAUGACUAAGUUGGGAGCAUUUGACAAUUUUAGAUGUGGGAUGAAAAUUGCCUUAUCUAAGACAUAGGGCACCUGCAGAAGUAAAGAGAAACAGAACAAAGGGGACCACUCUUGGUAUAGAAGUUCAUCUCGUCGGGAGCAUCUGUGGUUCUUUUAUAAGCAAUGUACAUUCUACAAUAGAGGCAGACCCAGAAAUAAUUCAGAUAUUGGAGUUAGAAGAUCAGGAUUCUAAAAAAACCAAAAGAUCCUGCCUUACUAUGCACCUAUGGCCCUUCAAAGGCGAGAGUAGAAUCUGCUAUGAUUUAGAAGCAAGCAAUAAAAAGUACACAUCAGUUACUGUGUGUUAGGAGUUCCAGCACGGUUUACCUGGAUCCUCUGCUCAGGCUCCAACCAGGCUGCAAACAAGGUGUUGGACAGGCUGCUUUCUCACCUGAAGACUGGACUAGGGAAGAAUCCACUUCCAAGCUCAUUCAAGUUGUUGGUCGAAUUCAUGUCCUCGAGUCUGCAUGAGUGAGGUCCCAGCUCUUACUGACUUUAAUCCUCAGGUCCUAGAGGUGGCUCCCACUUUCCUGCCACUUGGCACUAUCCACAGGGGCUUAACCAGGUGGCUGUUUGCUUCUUCAAGGCCAUCAGGAGAAUUUCUCUCCUGGUUUGCUAAGAUAGAGCCUUAUAUAAUAAAACAUAAUCACAAGAGUGACAUUUCAGCACCUUUACAUAACUACAUAACUUUACAUAACAUAAACCAACCUAAUCAAGGGAGUGUCCUUCCAACAACUUUGCCACACUGCGUUGGUUGCAAGUAAGUCACAAACCCACACUCAAGGGGAUUACACAAGAGUGGAUUAUUGGGGUCUCCUUAAAGCAUGUCCUCCACUAUCUACUUUGAAACUUCUUUACAAAGCUUUCAUUUUGAUGAUUUGUUUCAGAUGACUGAAGCCCACUCUCAUUAAAACUAUUUGGAAACUGCUGUCUAGUGACAUUAUAUUAAAGCCAAUCUGUUUAAACAAGAAAGAGCAGUGCUCCCACUUGGUAGGAGAUAAGACUCCUUACAGCCUCAGCUAUCAACAACAUGGCUUAUGCUAUUUCUUUAUGUACAUAUCUAUAUAUGUCCAGUGCAUGCCAAAUAAGGUCUGUAAGCGUUGAAACAUAAUAAUAAAAUGAACUCAGGUACCCUCAUUCCAAUUUAAGAGCUAAACCAUUAUGAACUCCAUUCUAUCUACCUAUGUAUUUCUUCUUAUGCCAUUCCCCUACCUCCCAGAGGUAACCAACCAUUCAGUUGCUAUAAUUCAUUUGCCUUUUUGAUAAUUUUGUGACACACAUAUUUAACAAUAAAGGAGUGGUGUGCUAUUGCUAACUUCUGAACUAUAAUAAUGGCAUCACAUACCGCAAAGUGUUCUGAGGUUAGCUUUUUCCACACAACGUUAUGUUUUUGAGAUUGAGCUCUGCUGCUUCUCCUAGCUGUAGAUCAAUCAUUUCCACUCGCACAAUUCCACUGUGCAAAGAUGACACAAAUAAGUAGACGUUUUUAUCAAUGGGCAUUUCAGUUCUUUUCAUUUUUCACUGCCAUGAAUACUGCUGCCGUGAACAUUGUCAUGCAUCUCCUAGUACUCAUAUGCAAGUAUUUUUUUUCUGGCGUAUGCACCUAAAAGUAAAAUCACUGAGUCUUAGGGUAUGCAAAUAUUCAACUUUACAAGGAAUGACAAAUUGUUUUCCAAAGCAAACUCUUAUCAGCAACUUAUGAGUUCCUUUAACCUAUUUUCUCCUCAACCAGACUUCUUCAUAUGGCCAAUUUAGAAGCUAUAAAAGGGUAUUUUAUUUUUAUCUUACUUUGUAUUUUUUGAAUAUUAGUAAGUCUAAACAUUUUAUGUGCUUAUUUUCCAUUUGUAUUUUCUCUUCUGUGAGAUGCUGGUUUAU
Molecule: long non-coding RNA, 3527 nt
Filed under: Homo sapiens (human)
Lineage: Eukaryota; Metazoa; Chordata; Mammalia; Primates; Hominidae
Description: testicular germ cell expressed HSF2 interacting lncRNA
Source: RNAcentral